This 530-nucleotide ribosomal RNA is filed under the name uncultured bacterium. RNAcentral's name for it is "bacterial SSU rRNA". It matches the Rfam family "Bacterial small subunit ribosomal RNA", at positions 777 to 1305 of the family's 1533-position model. The record is from RNAcentral.
AAUAGAUACCCAGGUAGUCCACGCCGUAAACGAUGAGUGCUAAGUGUUAGAGGGUUUCCGCCCUUUAGUGCUGCAGCUAACGCAUUAAGCACUCCGCCUGGGGAGUACGGUCGCAAGACUGAAACUCAAAGGAAUUGACGGGGGCCCGCACAAGCGGUGGAGCAUGUGGUUUAAUUCGAAGCAACGCGAAGAACCUUACCAGGUCUUGACAUCCUCUGACAACUCUAGAGAUAGAGCGUUCCCCUUCGGGGGACAGAGUGACAGGUGGUGCAUGGUUGUCGUCAGCUCGUGUCGUGAGAUGUUGGGUUAAGUCCCGCAACGAGCGCAACCCUUGAUCUUAGUUGCCAGCAUUUAGUUGGGCACUCUAAGGUGACUGCCGGUGACAAACCGGAGGAAGGUGGGGAUGACGUCAAAUCAUCAUGCCCCUUAUGACCUGGGCUACACACGUGCUACAAUGGAUGGUACAAAGGGCUGCAAGACCGCGAGGUCAAGCCAAUCCCAUAAAACCAUUCUCAGUUCGGAUUGUAGGC